CAACAGACUGAGGUACUGUCUGCAGAAAAACAAAUGGGGGAGGUUGUUUUAAAGAAGCAGAAAUCCUUGUGUUCAUAAAAUGGUCAGGGAUGGGUUUAUUUAAUUCAGAAAAACAUUUGCAAAAUAAAUAAGCAGGUCUUAACUGACCAUAUGCUAAUCUUUCUCUGUGUCUCAAGACUUGCUUCUGGCUAGGACUAGGGAUAUGGCUUUUUGCCCAAUUCUAAGGUUUAAUAAGACAUGUCAAGUGAAAAUGAAAAGUAUGUAUUUCUGGAAGCUUCAACCUUUUUUGUCUUUUUUUUUUAAUCCUCAAGUUCCUGAGUAUUUUUUAGUCUGACACUUCUAAGCUAUUGAACAGGGUGGGAGGACAAACCUCAUUCAUGAAACUUUUCUUUUGGCUCACAACCUGCACAAGAGGGAUGGGUUUUUCCUCUGACUUCAAAUGGAAAGCUCUCCCCUGACCACAAGCAUUAUGGAAAGGUGUUUGCUUGCUGCUUCAUAGCUCAGGAGUGAAGCAUGCAGAAAGCAUUAGGUGAAAGUGAACUAUUUAAUGAAUCCAUUGUUCCUGGUUUGGUAUGAAUUCCCAAGACCUUGAAUUAUGAAAGAUCAUAUUAAAAAGCCUUCAGGAGAUUUCCCCCCCCCCCACUAGAGCAGUUAUGCAAGAAGCCUCUUGCUUUACUCACAUGGAUGUUCUGGAAAUACCUCUAUCUGGAAAAAGCUGGGUAAUAAGCUAUUUAACUGCUGUAUAAUAGUAUCUAACCACUGAAGAAUAAUCUGGUUUGGGUGUUAAAAAAUCCAAAAAUCCAGCAAACGUUCAGAGGCACAAAAAAUUCUGAAGAUGUUACUUGCUUGUGAAGUGCAGCUAAGUAUUUUUUGUUGCUUUUAGGUGAUUUAUAUGCUGGAGGAGCAGAAUUUUUUGUUUUCUUUAAAUUGCAGAUGAGAUCUGGUUUGUGCAUAGUUCUCUUAACUAUUCAUCAGGAGAUCCGGAGCACUGGAGUUAAAACUAAACAAAACAACCCAUGAUGUCAGACUCAUAAAAAUUAUUUGGCUUUAUUUGUAUCUUUAAAAAACAUGGUGAAAUGAGGGGAAGAUUUUAAGAGUGAUACUGCAUACUUGGGUGUUUAAAAAAAUACCUUUCUUAUGCUGGAGAUUUUUAAUAACAAACAGAAGAGGGAGUUGGGGGAGUGAGGGCAAUGGGGGACUCUGUCAGCAGAGCUGUUCCCAGGUGUUCCAGAGUUAUCUGUGUCUCAAUCAAAAAUCAAUGUGAAUGAAAAUUAUAAUUGCACCUGUAUCUGCAAGGAACUGCUGUCCUUGCAAAAUCUGAGUGCAGGUGUGAAAUGCCAGUACUUACAAAUCUCAUCUGUGUUUUAUGCAGCGCUGUACUGGGUUUUAUUCUGACUCAAAACUCAAAGAGCUGGGCUGUUGUGCAGUGGCUCUGUACUCAGACUCUGCUGAUACUCAGCUCAGGUGUUUAGAUUGUUUUUUGGUUGGUUUUUUUUUUUUUUUUUUUUGCAGGGGGAGAGGUGUGUCUUAUUCCCCUCCCUAGAAGAUGACUUUGCAUUCCAGAGUUCUGUGAAGGGGGAUGGCAUCCAGCCUGAGGAGAGUCUCCUGUACAUUUCACCAGCAGCCCUGUUGUUACUGGCUGCAUUUAAAUCCUUCUAAUGCUCUUCUUUCUGCCUCCUGCUCAAGCAGGCAGCUCCCUUCUUGUGCAGUUGCAAGCUUGGCUGCACAUCAGCACACAUCUCAGCAUCAGAUCCACCUUCUGGAUGAAUUUUGCCCUUACACAGGCUAAAAAGUGGCACCUUUUCAGGGCUCAGUUUAGCCACAAGUGAGGCUCAGCGUAUUUCUGUCCGUGCUAUAGCUGAACAGUGAAACUAUGCAAUUUCCAGCUGUAAAAAAAAAAGCUGGUCUAGAGUUGGAUGGGCUGAAGCUUUGGGGAUUUUUUUUUUUUGUUUUUUUUUUUUUCUUCCCUCCUGUGUGGAAUGAAAGCUUGGCUUUUGGAACAGCUCUGCAACCACAAAGGAAAAGCACACUGCUGCUGGCUGGGUGGUGUCCUGGCCCCUGCGCUGCUGUAGCUGAUUUUUGUGGGAGCUUCCAAGGCAGUCUGACACACACCCUGCCCAUAUUCCCAGCUCCAGAGCCAGCGACUUCAAAACCUUCUGCUGUUUUUUUUUUUUUGUAUUGAGAAACCAAUGUCUUCAGUGGAAUAGGUGCCCUCAGCUCAGCUUUGGUGGGGAAAAUACACAUUUCUUGUUGAAGGUUUCUGUGGCAAGGCGCUGGCAGGGAGGCAGGUGCUGUUCUCGUGUAUUGAUUGCUGUGAUUUUAUUUUGAAGUGCACACCUGCUAAAAAGCACUUUCAGCACAGAGCAAGAUCUCCACUGAUGAAUUUACAGUUUCACUCCUUCCUCUACCAUAGAUUCUUUCUGUGUGGUGGUUACUGAGCUGAGCUUCCAAGCUGGUUCUGUGGGUAACAGUCGUGGAGAGAAGCAGGGAAAAGAACUUAGAAAAAUUUAUUUAAAGAGAAUGGAGGGGAAAUGGAUACCCUGAAAUACCUGGCAUUUAAGUCUAGUUCCAGUACCCUGCAUUAAAAUGGGGAGUUACUUUUGGCUUGGCCCGGAGGGUCAGCGGCACCCGAGGAGCUGCGGGGAGCAGAGCGGGGCUUUUCCGGGGCUUUUCCGGGGCUUUUCCGGGGUUUUCCAGGGCAUUCCGCAUCUCCCGGGCCCAGGCGAGGCCGCUCUCCUGCGGGGCCGGGCGGUGGCGGUGUCGGCCCGGCUCCGGAGCAUCCGCCCGGGCAAAGCGGGUGAAUCCCUGACCUCAAAAGGAUG
Long non-coding RNA from Taeniopygia guttata (zebra finch), 2822 nucleotides. The record is from Ensembl. NCBI's taxonomy places the organism in Eukaryota, Metazoa, Chordata, Aves, Passeriformes, Estrildidae.